AAAUGCACAUAUUGUGAGCUCGAUGAGUAGGGCGGGACACGUGGUAUCCUGUCUGAAUAUGGGGGGACCAUCCUCCAAGGCUAAAUACUCCUGACUGACCGAUAGUGAACCAGUACCGUGAGGGAAAGGCGAAAAGAACCCCGGCGAGGGGAGUGAAAAAGAACCUGAAACCGUGUACGUACAAGCAGUGGGAGCACGCUUAGGCGUGUGACUGCGUACCUUUUGUAUAAUGGGUCAGCGACUUAUAUUCUGUAGCAAGGUUAACCGAAUAGGGGAGCCGAAGGGAAAUCGAGUCUUAACUGGGCGUUAAGUUGCAGGGUAUAGACCCGAAACCCGGUGAUCUAGCCAUGGGCAGGUUGAAGGUUGGGUAACACUAACUGGAGGACCGAACCGACUAAUGUUGAAAAAUUAGCGGAUGACUUGUGGCUGGGGGUGAAAGGCCAAUCAAACCGGGAGAUAGCUGGUUCUCCCCGAAAGCUAUUUAGGUAGCGCCUCGUGAAUUCAUCUCCGGGGGUAGAGCACUGUUUCGGCAAGGGGGUCAUCCCGACUUACCAACCCGAUGCAAACUGCGAAUACCGGAGAAUGUUAUCACGGGAGACACACGGCGGGUGCUAACGUCCGUCGUGAAGAGGGAAACAACCCAGACCGCCAGCUAAGGUCCCAAAGUCAUGGUUAAGUGGGAAACGAUGUGGGAAGGCCCAGACAGCCAGGAUGUUGGCUUAGAAGCAGCCAUCAUUUAAAGAAAGCGUAAUAGCUCACUGGUCGAGUCGGCCUGCGCGGAAGAUGUAACGGGGCUAAACCAUGCACCGAAGCUGCGGCAGCGACGCUUAUGCGUUGUUGGGUA
This 844-nucleotide ribosomal RNA is filed under the name Escherichia coli. Its description in RNAcentral is "partial 23S ribosomal RNA". It matches the Rfam family "Bacterial large subunit ribosomal RNA", at positions 386 to 1230 of the family's 2925-position model. Lineage: Bacteria; Pseudomonadati; Pseudomonadota; Gammaproteobacteria; Enterobacterales; Enterobacteriaceae. The record is from RNAcentral.